AAGUCGUAACAAGGUUUCCGUAGGUGAACCUGCGGAAGGAUCAUUACAAAUUAUUGAAGGUUAGAAUUGAGUGGAGUAAAAAUCCCUCUUUUCGUACCAAAAGUGCUCAGGAUCUAUUUUGAUCCUGUAGACAUUUACGCUUGUUAGUGUUUGACCGAGUUUUUAGUGAAAAAAAAAUAUUGACAACUUUUAACAAUGGAUCUCUUGGCUCUU
This 213-nucleotide unclassified non-coding RNA is filed under the name fungal sp. RNAcentral's name for it is "partial internal transcribed spacer region". The stretch from base 1 to 46 matches the Rfam family "Eukaryotic small subunit ribosomal RNA", at positions 1786 to 1831 of the family's 1831-position model. Lineage: Eukaryota; Fungi. The record is from RNAcentral.